UAUAAAGGGAAGGGUAAUCACCUUUCUGUAUACAGUGCUAUAAAAUCCCUCCUGGCCAGAGGCAACAUCCUGUUACCUGUAAAGGGUUAAGAAGCUCAGCUAACCUGGCUGGCACCUGACACAAAGGACCAAUAAGGGAACGAGAUACUUUCAAAUCUUGGGUGGGGAAAGGCUUUUGUUUGUGCUCUUUGUUUAUGUGGUUGUUUUCUCUUGGGACUGAGAGAGGCCAGACAGAAAUCCAUCUUCUCCAACGCAUCCUAAUCCAAGUCUCAAUAUUGUAACCAGUAUAGCCACCUAGACCUGUUGGUUCUCAGAGCUCAGUCUAUGAUACUCCCCUGCCUUGUUUUCCAGCUAUUGAAACUGUCUCACAGGAAUGUCAUUAUCAGGGACGGCAUUCACCAAGGGUCUGGCCGUUGAAGGGAAGGUCCUGCAUUGACUGCUGAGCUUCACUGGAUAAGCCUGAGAGGAGCAGGCAGAAAGCGUGCCACAUGGAGAGGGCGGAGCCCAUGGAGUGGGUGGCAGAGUCCGCUGCGUCAGAUGCUGCCUGGAAGGCCACCCUGGCCGUGCCUUCACCGAGGAUCACUCAGAAUUCCUUCCAGGAAGGGAACCCUUGAACUUGGCCAUGGUCUGCCACAUGUUAAAGUCACAGCGGCCCAGGAGGGCCUGGUGGUUGGCCACAAUCAACUGCAGGCUGGAAGAUGAAUAAACUUUGCGUCCAAAAAGAUUCAGCCUCCUUGAGUCUUUGUUUUUGGAGGUAGCACAUGCCCUGUCCCCAGGAUAAGUCCCGUUCAGAACUCACAAAGACUCUAAACUACAAUUAAGGGUAACUAUUUUAACUACUAACUAUAUACAACUAAAUUACAGGUUAUUUAAGUUCACAAGAACAGAGAACAGGUAACACUAGCCAAAGCAGCAGACAUUCCAGCACCGUCACUGGUGGCAAGAAGGAACUGAGGGUGGGGGGAGCCGGCGGCACCCCUUAUAUCGCAC
Long non-coding RNA from Caretta caretta (loggerhead turtle), 990 nucleotides. RefSeq lists it as uncharacterized. Lineage: Eukaryota; Metazoa; Chordata; Testudines; Cheloniidae. The record is from RefSeq and is a predicted model, not a curated record.